UUCUGGUUAGGUGUCCUCUCAUGCCUGCAGAGGCGCAUGUAAGCUUAGCAUGAAUGCUCUCACUUGGACAAAAAUCUUAUUCUGGUCUUGACUGUUGUUCAGCACGGUGUGUGGGUCAACAUGGGAUCUGAUCUGUUACAUAGAGAAUUUCUGUAUCGGCCAUCUUCUGAAGAUGGUUGUGAUGUUGGCACUCUUUUACAUUGGUCAUUUUUAAACGGUUGAUAAGAAGCAAACUGCUGCUAAUCAUGCAAGUUUUAGAAAAUUCUGAUGCAUAAUGUUGGGUGUUAUCCACUGCUAAUCAUACAUUGUUGUUGGCUCUCUUUUACUGCUCAAACUGCCAACCUAUUGGAAGGAUUGGGUGUCACAAGCACUUAACAGGUUGGACGUUAUCCACUGUAAAUCUCAUGUUCUUGACAGCCUACACUUGAAGUUUGAGCGGUAACAGUAGCAGUAACAACUCCACCAGAGAUUUCCAAGUAAAGCCCUUCUCUACAUGUGCUAGUGCUAGUGUUAAUAGCACUAGCAGUAACAACUCCACUAGAGAUUUCCUUUCGUUAACAGACAAGCUGCUGAUGGCCCAGUGCGACAUACUACUGGGAUAUAUUUUCAGUGAUUCUUGAUUCUUCAGUUCUGUUGAAUUCCUGCAUAGUGUGUUAUUUUUACUCUUAAGAAUGCAAACAUGCUGCACUUAUGCACAUAAAACUGUAUUUUGAUUUCUUUUGUUUCUGCUGUAUGUCCAAGCCAGAGUCCAUGAAACUUUGAAGAAGCACGAUCUUACAAAAGCUCUUGUAAUGAAAGAGCUGGUGUGGUUUGUGCCAUGAUUAGGAGCUUACAAUAGCAUUCAAAAAUGACACUUCUGCAUAAACACUUUCGGCCGCUUCUGGAAGUUAUCAAGAUUGAUCGUGUAAGCACUGGGUGCCCCAGCAGCAUUUUUGUCAGAAGGUUUUGCAUUGCCAUUUCGGUGUUCCGCCAUUGAAGCUAUGUCGGAUCUAGAACAACUGAAAUCCGCAACAAACCAAACAGAAAAAUGCAGAGAUAACCACAAAUUUCAGAGAAGGUAUGUCUCUUCUCUCCUUUCUCUUCUAUUUCAUGAACAGAAUAUAGUUCAUCUGCAAAUUACAGUUUUUUUUUUAAGGAUUUAGAACUUUUUAAAAAAAUGAAAACUACUGGUUGAAAAGAAGAAAAAAAUA
Magnolia sinica is the source of this 1190-nucleotide long non-coding RNA. RefSeq lists it as uncharacterized. The record is from RefSeq and is a predicted model, not a curated record. The transcript is spliced from 3 exons. Lineage: Eukaryota; Viridiplantae; Streptophyta; Magnoliopsida; Magnoliales; Magnoliaceae.